CCGACAGUCUAAAAAAAAGAGGGGCUCUCGCGGAAAACUGCUCUCAUGGCUAUCCAUCUUUGUCUCUGGAACGGUUAUGCUCCUUUUCUCCAGAUAUGGCAUCAUUCUUAAGUGAAUGUGAAUCUGUGUCCCUCCCUGGGCAAGAACUACAGCCACCAGAAGGGAAACAUCAUUCUGAAUGCAACAGUGUACAUCCAACCUCCAUGAAAGUGGUGUCAUUCUGAGUGGAGAGAAAGCUUUUACAGGAUACAAAGAUCAACGGCACAGAAGUAUAUUUCUCGUAGCAUCAAGACUAAUUAGAGUUGAUUCAUAGCAACAAAAGUCCCUGUAUUCAAGCCAUCCAUAUGUGAGGAAAUUUAUUAUGGCGUUGGCUCACAAGGUCAUUGGGAUGAAAUGUGCUCUAAUAUGCCUUCUGCAAAGCCUUCUGCAAGGGAAGCCUGUGACAUACUCAAUCUGAGCGUGAAAAUCUGAGACAGGAGUGGAGAGAGAAGUGUGAGUGAAUUGGGUGAGCACUAAUAUACAAGGGCAAGAAAGAGAGGGUGUCCCAGUUUAAGCAUAGAAAAUUUGAACUUCUUCAAUCUUUUUGUAUAUGUAGAUCCUCUAGUAUCUUUGACUCAGUCCCUUAAUGUUACUGUAAUGCAGUGCCUGAAACUAGGUAUCUUAUAAACAACAGAAACUUAUUUCAUGGUUACAGUGUUUGGAAAAUCCAAGACCAAGGCACCAGUAAAUUUGAAA
Fukomys damarensis (Damara mole-rat) is the source of this 735-nucleotide long non-coding RNA. RefSeq lists it as uncharacterized. The transcript has 5 exons. Lineage: Eukaryota; Metazoa; Chordata; Mammalia; Rodentia; Bathyergidae. The record is from RefSeq and is a predicted model, not a curated record.